ACGAACGCUGGCGGCGUGCUUAACACAUGCAAGUCGAACGGAAAGGCCCUGCUUGCAGGGUACUCGAGUGGCGAACGGGUGAGUAACACGUGGGUGAUCUGCCCUGCACUUCGGGAUAAGCCUGGGAAACUGGGUCUAAUACCGGAUAGGAGCCAUUUUUAGUGUGAUGGUUGGAAAGUUUUUUCGGUGUAGGAUGAGCUCGCGGCCUAUCAGCUUGUUGGUGGGGUAAUGGCCUACCAAGGCGGCGACGGGUAGCCGGCCUGAGAGGGUGGACGGCCACAUUGGGACUGAGAUACGGCCCAGACGCCUACGGGAGGCAGCAGUGGGGAAUAUUGCACAAUGGGCGCAAGCCUGAUGCAGCGACGCCGCGUGGGGGAUGACGGCCUUCGGGUUGUAAACUCCUUUCGCUAGGGACGAAGCUUUUUGUGACGGUACCUAGAGAAGAAGCACCGGCUAACUACGUG
RNAcentral lists this ribosomal RNA (464 nucleotides) under uncultured bacterium. Its description in RNAcentral is "partial 16S ribosomal RNA". It matches the Rfam family "Bacterial small subunit ribosomal RNA", at positions 29 to 507 of the family's 1533-position model. The record is from RNAcentral.